Small nuclear RNA from Nomascus leucogenys (northern white-cheeked gibbon), 188 nucleotides. Its record names the gene U2. It matches the Rfam family "U2 spliceosomal RNA". From Rfam's summary of the family: U2 is a small nuclear RNA (snRNA) component of the spliceosome (involved in pre-mRNA splicing). Complementary binding between U2 snRNA (in an area lying towards the 5' end but 3' to hairpin I) and the branchpoint sequence (BPS) of the intron results the bulging out of an unpaired adenosine, on the BPS, which initiates a nucleophilic attack at the intronic 5' splice site, thus starting the first of two transesterification reactions that mediate splicing. The record is from Ensembl. NCBI's taxonomy places the organism in Eukaryota, Metazoa, Chordata, Mammalia, Primates, Hylobatidae.
AAAUCAAACCUUAUGGCUAAGAUCAAGUGUAGUAUCUGUUCUUAUCAGUUUAAUAACUGAUACGUCCUCUAUCCGAGGCCAAGUUUCAGUAUCCAAGCAAGGAGCAGGAAGAUGGAAUAGGAGCUUGCUCCGUCCACUCCACGCAUCGGCCUGGUAUUGCAGUGCCUCCAGGUAACGGUGCAUCCCCU